UAUCUCUGUAGAGUCUGCAUAUCAAUAAGCGGAGGAAAAGAAACUAACUAGGAUUCCCUCAGUAACGGCGAGUGAAGCGGGAAGAGCUCAAAUUUGAAAUCUUCAAGGUUCUACCUUGACGAAUUGUAGUUUAAAGAAGUGUUUUCUGUUGGAGUUUUGGUAAAAGUUCUUUGGAAUAGGACAUCAUAGAGGGUGAGAAUCCCGUAUUUGACCAUUAUUUCCAGCUUUGUGAUACACUUUCAAAGAGUCGGAUUGUUUGGGAAUGCAGUCCAAAAUGGGUGGUAAAUUUCAUCUAAAGCUAAAUACUGGCGAGAGACCGAUAGCGAACAAGUACUGUGAGGGAAAGAUGAAAAGAACUUUGAAAAGAGAGCUAAACAGUACGUGAAAUUGUCAAAAGGGAAGCGUUUGACACCAGUGUUGUUUUUCCGAAAAUCAAUUACGAAUGGCUUGAUUCUGUGUUGUAUUGACCUUAUCAGCUUUCCUCACUUUUUUCGAGUCUUUCUUAAUGCACUUUUCGGUUAACAAGUCAACAUCAAUUUCUUUUGUUGUAAAAGAGUAUUCGGAAGGUGGCUUUCUUUUCGGAGAAAGUGUUUAUAGCCCUAUACUUCUACAAUCGGAGAGAUUGAGGUCCUGCAGCGUAGAUCCUUCGGGGUUAGAUACAUUUGUGCUAAGUUGUAGCUUUUCAUAGACAACUUGUUGACUAUGUUUAGUCAUGCGGCUUACUCGCUUAGUGCUAUUUUACCUACGCUUAGGAUGUUGACGAGACUGUCGAUCUC
RNAcentral lists this ribosomal RNA (776 nucleotides) under uncultured Neocallimastigales. RNAcentral's name for it is "partial large subunit ribosomal RNA". It matches the Rfam family "Eukaryotic large subunit ribosomal RNA", at positions 24 to 647 of the family's 3401-position model. Lineage: Eukaryota; Fungi; Neocallimastigomycota; Neocallimastigomycetes; Neocallimastigales. The record is from RNAcentral.